CUCUGCUGCUGGGAUUAUGGCUGUCGUCUGUCGUUGUUAAAAAAAGAAAAGAAAACUCAAGAGGGAAAGCAAAAAGCAGGGGCUUUUGCUUCCAUUUUUGUCAUGGUUUUGGUUUGUUAAAACAUCCUUUCCCACCCUUGACUACUAGGAAUAUUGCUUAUCCUGCGCUUACACUCCUUGCACGUAUUAUAGCUGGUAUAAAAUGGGACACCGUUGGCUACGUAUGGAAAUUGAGCUGCUCCAGAACCUGUCCCGCAAUCCACAGUUGACAUGCUACUCUUCAUAACGAAUAAGUUCAAGUUGAUAUAAAAGGAGAACCGGACACCAAUUUCCUGGGUGGCUCCCAGCUUGCAUUUUCCUUGCUUGGUCGGACCUGGGCUUACGAGUAGCUUAUGUCGUAUAUUUCAGUUUGCCUGCAAGGACAAGGUGACCAUAGUUAUCAUCAGCCGUUAGACUCUACAGCUACAGGACUUCCCGAGGCCACCAAUGAUUGAGAACACAGC
Molecule: small RNA, 503 nt
Filed under: Histoplasma capsulatum
Lineage: Eukaryota; Fungi; Ascomycota; Eurotiomycetes; Onygenales; Ajellomycetaceae
Also listed under: 1 other name
Description: hypothetical RNA
Source: RNAcentral